Molecule: non-coding RNA, 707 nt
Organism: Macaca mulatta (Rhesus monkey)
Lineage: Eukaryota; Metazoa; Chordata; Mammalia; Primates; Cercopithecidae
Source: RefSeq, a predicted model, not a curated record
GUCUAUGUGUCUGUGUGUACAUGUGUCCAUGUGUCCACAUGCAAUGGGUGUGCUCUCUCAGAAAAGGAAAGAGUGGGGUAAAAAUUCCAGCCAAGGUCUGGAGAAAAGACUGUAAUAUAUUUCAAUCUGAAUUUUCUCUCUCAGGCAACAACCUAUAACAGAAAAUAAAACCAGAAUUUUUUGCCCUCAUAAAGAAUAUUUGGGUUACCAGCUCUAGCCAUCCAUAGUGCAUACAAAAUUAGAUAUAUCAAGCUACGGAAAAAAAACUGUGGAAAAAUCUUUUCUUCCUGCAAAUGUUUCAUCCUCACUUACGUCAUUGUGGCUUGAAUUCUAAAGAACCCUGAUGAGAAAGAAGGAAAACCAAAGAAAAGCCACUCUUUACCCAACAGUACUGUAUCAACCUGCUGUGAGGGUAUAGAUAAUACACUGGAAACAUUAUUGUGGAAUUUUAAAUGAUUGCUGUGGAGAGAUUGGGCAGAACAUUGAUUUUAAAGCAAAGAAGUCUUUGAGCUUUAUCAUCUUCCUUCCUGUGUGGAAUCUGCCUUGUCUCCUCUCCCUUAGCCAAAUUGUGCAAGGGUUGUGUAAAUAAAUGUGCUUCUUCAGAAAUCCAUUCCGUGGGAGCCUGUUGGCUUCUCUGUGACUGUAUCACUGAAACAAUUUCUGAGUUGAAAUGUAAGUGCUUAUAAAAUGUAAUGCCUAUACUUGGU